This 253-nucleotide ribosomal RNA is filed under the name uncultured bacterium. RNAcentral describes it as "partial 16S ribosomal RNA". It matches the Rfam family "Bacterial small subunit ribosomal RNA", at positions 524 to 776 of the family's 1533-position model. The record is from RNAcentral.
UACGUAGGGUCCUAGCUUUGUCCGGAAUUAUUGGGCGUAAAGAGCUCGUAGGCGGUUUGUCGCGUCUGCUGUGAAAACCUAAGGCUCAACCUUGGGCUUGCAGUGGGUACGGGCAGACUAGAGUGCGGUAGGGGUGACUGGAAUUCCUGGUGUAGCGGUGGAAUGCGCAGAUAUCAGGAGGAACACCGAUGGCGAAGGCAGGUCACUGGGCCGCAACUGACGCUGAGGAGCGAAAGCAUGGGGAGCGAACAGG